GAUGAGCGCUAGCGGGAGGCCUAAUACAUGCAAGUCGAGCGGUAGAGUGACUUCGGUUGCUUGAGAGCGGCGCACGGGUGAGUAACGCGUACAUGACCUACCUUUAAGACUGGGAUAGCCCUGGGAAACUGGGAUUAAUACCGGAUGUGAUAAUACGUAUAGAGAUGUAUUAUUAAAGUUGAGGCGCUUAGAGAUGGAUGUGCGUCUGAUUAGCUAGUUGGUAGGGUAACGGCCUACCAAGGCGACGAUCAGUAGGGGCGUGAGAGCGUGGCCCCCACACGGGUACUGAGACACGGACCCGACUCCUACGGGAGGCAGCAGUGGGGAAUUUUGGACAAUGGGCGCAAGCCUGAUCCAGCCAUGCCGCGUGAGUGAAGAAGGCCUCGG
Molecule: ribosomal RNA, 387 nt
Filed under: uncultured bacterium
Lineage: Bacteria
Description: bacterial SSU rRNA
Rfam family: Bacterial small subunit ribosomal RNA
Source: RNAcentral